RNAcentral lists this ribosomal RNA (497 nucleotides) under uncultured bacterium. RNAcentral describes it as "partial 16S ribosomal RNA". It matches the Rfam family "Bacterial small subunit ribosomal RNA", at positions 28 to 507 of the family's 1533-position model. The record is from RNAcentral.
GAUGAACGCUGGCGGCGUGCCUAAUACAUGCAAGUCGAGCGAACGGACGAGAAGCUUGCUUCUCUGAUGUUAGCGGCGGACGGGUGAGUAACACGUGGAUAACCUACCUAUAAGACUGGGAUAACUUCGGGAAACCGGAGCUAAUACCGGGUAAUAUUUUGAACCGCAUGGUUCAAAAGUGAAAGACGGUCUUGCUGUCACUUAUCGAUGGAUCCGCGCUGCAUUAGCUAGUUGGUAAGGUAACGGCUUAACAAGGCAACGAUGCAUAGCCGACCUGAGAGGGUGAGCGGCCACACUGGAACUGAGACACGGUCCAGACUCCUACGGGAGGCAGCAGUAGGGAAUCUUCCGCAAUGGGCGAAAGCCUGACGGAGCAACGCCGCGUGAGUGAUGAAGGUCUUCGGAUCGUAAAACUCUGUUAUUAGGGAAGAACAUAUGUGUAAGUAACUGUGCACAUCUUGACGGUACCUAAUCAGAAAGCCACGGCUAACUACGUG